GAUCCCGCCAAAGCUUUUACUCUCUUCCUCGGAAAUUCUCAACGCGUCGUUUGCUUCUCUCUUGCGUCAUCUGUGAUUCGUGCGACGGGGAAAUUGCGAUUCAACACCAAAAUCUUCGAGCCUUUUUUUUUUUUGUAUAUAAUGAAGAGACAUCGGAGUAACAACAAGUAACGAAAGCUGCAGCGAGGUUGAGAUUUUGACGAUGAUCUGUGUUUCGUUACGAAAUCGAAUACAUAAUUGGCUUCGCGACUAUGUUAGGCUCCAAUCUUUCGUUGUGAUUCUUAUUUACGCUCAGAUUGGGUGCGCGUUGAUCGGUUCACUAGGGGCAUUGUACAAUGGAGUCUUGCUAAUAAAUUUGGCGAUUGCGUUAUUUGGGUUAGUGGCAAUCGAGAGUAAUAGCCAGAAGCUUGGCAGAACCUAUGCGGUUCUUCUCUUCUGUGGCAUUCUUCUUGAUGUCUCAUGGUUCAUACUCUUCUCCAAGGAGAUUUGGAACCUUUCUUCUGAGAUGGAUCAAGCCUUUUACAUCUUCUCUGUGAAGCUCGCUAUGGCUAUGGAAAUUGCUGGGUUUGUUGUGAGGAUAUCGUCUUCUCUGUUAUGGUUUCAGAUUUAUAGGCUGGGAUCUUCUGUUAUAGACACUUCAUUUCCUCGUCAAUCAGAUUCAGACUUACGAAAUAGCUUCUUAGAACCUCCUAUUUUCACUAGGCAACGUUCACGUGAUCCAGAAUCACGAAAUAGCUUCUUAGAGCCUCCUGCUAUACCUAAGCCACGUUCACGUUCUCAUGAAAUCUUGGGAGAUUCUGCUGACGAACCAGCCUUCUACACUCCUCUGCUUGAUGGCUGCCAAAGCAAUAUCACUACGCCCGAUAUAACACAGUUGAUGCAAUAUUGUGAGAAUUGGAUGAACCAUCUUGAAAAUAACUAUGCCUUUUAGCUCUUCGUCACUCUAGUCACAGAGAAACAAGAGUCGUACAGCUUUGAUAGUACAUAACAGUGGUUAAAUAUCAUUCAGCUGGAGACAUUUACAAAGGAUCCCCAUCAUCUGCUGCAGAAGCCUCUCGAAAUAAGUCUCCUUUCUCCAGAUCCUUGGAGGCGCUUGAUUCAAGUCUCCGUUGAUACAACAUCUAUUGACUAUGGCCGGAAGAUAGCUUUUGGAUAGAGGAACUUCAGUCAACAAUCGAAAGGCAUUCAAGAACCAUUUGCCUUACAUCAUCACUGAUUUGACCCAGAGAACUGUAUAGAUACGGUGUGACAUAUGGAAUAGGAAUGUACAUAUCAGCAUUCUUUUCUGUAAAUGAAAAAUAUUAAAAUACAUUCUUUUGAGGUGAAUUGGAAGAUUAGUAUAAAGAUCUU
RNA transcript from Camelina sativa (false flax), 1350 nucleotides. RefSeq lists it as uncharacterized. Lineage: Eukaryota; Viridiplantae; Streptophyta; Magnoliopsida; Brassicales; Brassicaceae. The record is from RefSeq and is a predicted model, not a curated record.